Molecule: ribosomal RNA, 253 nt
Filed under: uncultured bacterium
Lineage: Bacteria
Description: partial 16S ribosomal RNA
Rfam family: Bacterial small subunit ribosomal RNA
Source: RNAcentral
UACGAAGGGGGCUAGCGUUGUUCGGAAUUACUGGGCGUAAAGGGUUCGUAGGUGGCUUGCUAAGUCAGACGUGAAAUCCCUCAGCUUAACUGGGGAACUGCGUCUGAGACUGGUGAGCUUGAGUGCAGGAGAGGAACGCGGAAUUCCACGUGUAGCAGUGAAAUGCGUAGAGAUGUGGAGGAAUACCGAUGGCGAAGGCAGCCCCCUGGGCCAAUACUGACGCUCAUGCACGAAAGCGUGGGGAGCAAACAGG